AUCGUUACCUCGACAACUUCUUUAACGUGGUUCGGCUCCCUCACGACUUUGACAUGGAGCAGAGUCGAUCCCUGAUUGUGAUAUCCAAAAAUGAGGAGAUGAUCAACUAUGCCAGAGAAGUCGGUGUGUCUCUUGCCAUUGGCCCAGAGAUCGUCAAGCUUGUGCAGUCUGGUGAGAUAAACCUCCUAGAUUAUGAAA
This is a long non-coding RNA of Penaeus monodon (black tiger shrimp), 198 nucleotides long. RefSeq lists it as uncharacterized. The record is from RefSeq and is a predicted model, not a curated record. The transcript is spliced from 2 exons. NCBI's taxonomy places the organism in Eukaryota, Metazoa, Arthropoda, Malacostraca, Decapoda, Penaeidae.